UACGUAGGGCGCAAGCGUUGUCCGGAAUUAUUGGGCGUAAAGAGCACGUAGGCGGAUAGGCAAGUCAGAUGUGAAAUCCCGGAGCUCAACUCCGGAACUGCAUUUGAUACUGCCUGUCUUGAGUGAGGUAGAGGGGAGUGGAAUUCCCGGUGUAGAGGUGAAAUUCGUAGAUAUCGGGAGGAACACCAGAGGCGAAGGCGGCUUUCUGGACUGACCCUGACGCUGAGGUGCGAAAGCGUGGGUAGCAAACAGGAUUAGAUACCCCUGUA
Molecule: ribosomal RNA, 269 nt
Filed under: uncultured prokaryote
Description: partial 16S ribosomal RNA
Rfam family: Bacterial small subunit ribosomal RNA
Source: RNAcentral